This 449-nucleotide ribosomal RNA is filed under the name uncultured bacterium. RNAcentral describes it as "partial 16S ribosomal RNA". It matches the Rfam family "Bacterial small subunit ribosomal RNA", at positions 29 to 523 of the family's 1533-position model. The record is from RNAcentral.
AACGAACGCUGGCGGCAUGCCUAACACAUGCAAGUCGAACGAGAUCUUCGGGUCUAGUGGCGCACGGGUGCGUAACGCGUGGGAAUCUGCCCUUUGGUUCGGAAUAACAGUUGGAAACGACUGCUAAUGCCGGAUGAUGACGAAAGUCCAAAGAUUUAUCGCCAGAGGAUGAGCCCGCGCAGGAUUAGCUAGUUGGUGUGGUAAAGGCGCACCAAGGCGACGAUCCUUAGCUGGUCUGAGAGGAUGAUCAGCCACACUGGGACUGAGACACGGUCCAGACUCCUACGGGAGGCAGCAGUGGGGAAUAUUGGACAAUGGGCGGAAGCCUGAUCCAGCAAUGCCGCGUGAGUGAUGAAGGCCUUAGGGUUGUAAAGCUCUUUUACCCGGGAUGAUAAUGACAGUACCGGGAGAAUAAGCUCCGGCUAACUCCGUGCCAGCCGCCGCCGUAA